This 1815-nucleotide long non-coding RNA is filed under the name Macaca mulatta (Rhesus monkey). Its description in RNAcentral is "lncRNA (ENSMMUG00000060065.1)". Lineage: Eukaryota; Metazoa; Chordata; Mammalia; Primates; Cercopithecidae. The record is from RNAcentral.
CAACAGAUGGGGCCUCGGUUCCAGCACAAGAUUUGCCUUAGCUUUGAAGAGGCAGCUGUGUCCUGGAAGAUAGACAUUGUCACCAGGAAAGAGAUGAUGCCUUCUCUGCAGGAUCUGCUGCGGGAGAAGAUUCUAACAUUGUCUUGGAAUUCACCAACCUCAGAACUUUGUAAAGACAUCAUAAUGAAAUGCUGAGAGUGACUGAAAAAGGUCUGUACUACACACUAGUUAAAAACCCACAAUGAGGCCCGGCACAGUGGCUUACGUCUGUAAUCUCAGCGCUUUGGGAGGCUGAGGCUGGCGGAUCAUCAGUGGAAAGGAGUUCGAGACCAGCCUGGUCAACAUGCUGAAACCCCGUCUCUACCAAAAAUACAAAAAUUAGCCGGGCAUGAUGGCAGGAGCCUGUAAUCUCAGCUGCUUAGAAGGCUGAGGCAGGAGAAUCACUUGAACCCAGGAAGUGCAGGUUGCAGUGAGCCGAGAUUAUGACACUGCACUCCAGCCUGGGCAACAAGAGUGAAAUUCUGUCUCAAAAAGCAAAAAAAAACUUCAAAAAACCCACAGUGGGUUCUGAUGUCCAACUCCUGCUCCUCUUCAGAUGAUGCCAGUGAUGACCCUAAACCAGAGGGGCAGGUUGGGUCUAAUUAUUUGUAGGCAGCCGAUGUCUCCUGGUCUCACACAGGACACCCUGCACUGGGAUGUCUGCCUCUUUCUAUAGGAUCCUAUUACUCAGCAUCAUCUUUCUGCACAAGCUGAAGCUGCAGUGUUUGGAUGCUGAGUCUGAGAAUAGCUGAGUGAGGCUGAAUGCUCUGAAUCUCUAACCCAAGGGCUGUGAGCAUGUAAUCUGCUGGGAACUUUCUCCUCUAGUGACUGUAUUCAUAUAUGUUGUGGCCAAGAAAAGGAGGUUUAAAGCCCCUCUGUCUGGAGGAGUUCCUUCCUGCUUGAGAUCGGAACUGAAAACGACUUCUCCAUUUGCACAAUGCUCUGGCAUUUCCUGGGCAACAGUGUUACGUGCCUCUGCAGCGAGAGUAACUUGAGAUACUGCUUUUUAAUCACUUCUUGCCCAAUAUCUCAUAUUACACAGUCAUAAUCCUCUCAUACUUAUUAAUCAGAAAGCAGAACAGUUGGUGAAUAGCUUGAGUUCUUCAACUGCAAUCUGUAAGGGAUAUAGUGAAGUGCUGUUUGUGUCGUUCUAUUGGAGAAAUCAGGGGAAGGUUUGAUGGGGGAAAUGUCACCUACCUAUAUCAUUUUCUUUCUCUUUUUUUUUUUUUUUUUUGAGAUGGAGUCUCGCUCUGUCACCCAGGCUGGAGUGCAGUGGCACAAUCUCAGUGCACUGCAACCUCUACCUACCAGGUUCAAGUGAUUUUCCUGACUCAGCCUCCCAGGUAGCUGAGAUUACAGGCAUGCGCCACCACAUCAGCUAAUUUUUAUAUUUUCAGUGGAGACAGAGUUUCACCAUGUUGGCCGGGCUGGUCUUGAACUCUUGGCUUUAAGUGAUCCAAGCACCUCGGCCUCCCAAAGUGCUGGAUUACAGGCGUGAGCCACCUUGCCCAGUCAUUGACUGCAACAGUAGACAUUUCGUAUUGUGGGCUGCAGAGAAUUCCAAAGAAUGCUACUUUCUCAUUAGAGCCAUCUUUAAUGGAUAUUCCCUGAAAGAAAAAGAUUAAAAUUCAGUUUGCUACAUGUACAUCUGUAGAAUGAAUUCCCAGAAGUAGAACUGUUAUAUCAAAAGGCAUGUGUAUUUAUUUAUUAUUAUUAUUUUUGAGACGAAGUCUUACUCUGUCGCCCAGGCUGGAGUGCAGUGGCACGAACUCGGCU